UGGGGAAUUUUGGACAAUGGGGGAAACCCUGAUCCAGCCAUCCCGCGUGUGCGAUGAAGGCCUUCGGGUUGUAAAGCACUUUUGGCAGGAAAGAAACGUCAUGGGUUAAUACCCCGUGAAACUGACGGUACCUGCAGAAUAAGCACCGGCUAACUACGUGCCAGCAGCCGCGGUAAUACGUAGGGUGCAAGCGUUAAUCGGAAUUACUGGGCGUAAAGCGUGCGCAGGCGGUUCGGAAAGAAAGAUGUGAAAUCCCAGAGCUCAACUUUGGAACUGCAUUUUUAACUACCGGGCUAGAGUGUGUCAGAGGGAGGUGGAAUUCCGCGGGUAGCAGUGAAAUGCGUAGAUAUGCGGAGGAAAACCGAUGGCGAAGGCAGCCUCCUGGGAUAACACUGACGCUCAUGCACGAAAGCGUGGGGAGCAAACAGG
RNAcentral lists this ribosomal RNA (429 nucleotides) under Acidobacteriota bacterium. Its description in RNAcentral is "Acidobacteria bacterium partial 16S ribosomal RNA". It matches the Rfam family "Bacterial small subunit ribosomal RNA", at positions 355 to 776 of the family's 1533-position model. Lineage: Bacteria; Pseudomonadati; Acidobacteriota. The record is from RNAcentral.